Molecule: small nuclear RNA, 97 nt
Filed under: Meriones unguiculatus (Mongolian gerbil)
Lineage: Eukaryota; Metazoa; Chordata; Mammalia; Rodentia; Muridae
Source: RNAcentral
GCCUUAUGCACAUAAACAGAUGGAAUGAUACAGAGAAGGUUAGCAUGGCUCCUGUAAAAAGGGUGACAAGCAAAUUCACGAAGCUUUUGAUAUUUAG